AAUGCUCAAGAAGUUUCAAUCCAAUCUAACUUACAGAUUGCAAGAAAACGCCAUAAAUCCAUUGAGCGCCACCUAGAAAGUUGAUCACAAACCUUAACUUGCAAUUUCUCCUUUUCCAACCGUUAAUUCUCAAUCAAACCUUGUGUGCAGCUUUGCCUUUAAGUCCUCGACUUACCACGUCAGAAUUCACCUUAUUCCAGCUGAUCGAUCUCUAGAUUUUACAGAAAUCCUAAACAACCCCAAUAUACUGACUUUUGAUACUUCUUUACACUUAUGAUCAAAUAUCCUCUAUCCGUAUCG
Molecule: long non-coding RNA, 300 nt
Filed under: Physcomitrium patens
Lineage: Eukaryota; Viridiplantae; Streptophyta; Bryopsida; Funariales; Funariaceae
Description: long non-coding RNA (PPAT_LNC014925)
Source: RNAcentral